CAUAGUGUGCUCUGGAAACUGUCUGACUUGAGUGCAGAAGGGGAGAGUGGAAUUCCAUGUGUAGCGGUGAAAUGCGUAGAUAUAUGGAGGANCACCAGUGGCGAAAGCGGCUCUCUGGUCUGUCACUGACGCUGAGGCUCGAAAGCGUGGGUAGCGAACAGGAUUAGAUACCCUGGUAGUCCACGCCGUAAACGAUGAGUGCUAGGUGUUAGGCCCUUUCCGGGGCUUAGUGCCGGAGCUAACGCAAUAAGCACUCCGCCUGGGGAGUACGACCGCAAGGUUGAAACUCAAAGGAAUUGACGGGGGCCCGCACAAGCGGUGGAGCAUGUGGUUUAAUUCGAAGCAACGCGAAGAACCUUACCAGGUCUUGACAUCCCGAUGCUAUUCUUAGAGAUAGGAAGUUACUUCGGUACAUCGGAGACAGGUGGUGCAUGGUUGUCGUCAGCUCGUGUCGUGAGAUGUUGGGUUAAAUCCCGCAACGAGCGCAACCCUUAUUGUUAGUUGCCAUCAUUAAGUUGGGCACUCUAGCGAGACUGCCGGUAAUAAACCGGAGGAAGGUGGGGAUGACGUCAAAUCAUCAUGCCCCUUAUGACCUGGGCUACACACGUGCUACAAUGGUCGGUACAACGAGUUGCGAGCCGGUGACGGCAAGCUAAUCUCUGAAAGCCGAUCUCAGUUCGGAUUGGAGGCUGCAACUCGCCUCCAUGAAGUCGGAAUCGCUAGUAAUCGCGGAUCAGCACGCCGCGGUGAAUACGUUCCCGGGCCUUGUACACACCGCCCGUCACACCACGAGAGUUUGUAACACCCGAAGUCGGUGAGGUAACCUUUUAGGGGCCAGCCGC
RNAcentral lists this ribosomal RNA (842 nucleotides) under uncultured bacterium. Its description in RNAcentral is "bacterial SSU rRNA". It matches the Rfam family "Bacterial small subunit ribosomal RNA", at positions 615 to 1456 of the family's 1533-position model. The record is from RNAcentral.